CUACGGGCGGCUCCAGUGGGGAAUAUUGCACAAUGGGGGGAACCCUGAUGCAGCCAUGCCGCGUGUGUGAAGAAGGCCUUAGGGUUGUAAAGCACUUUCAGUCGGGAGGAAAGGUUUUGUGUGAAGAAUGCAAGGCUGUGACGUUACCGACAGAAGAAGCACCGGCUAACUCCGUGCCAGCAGCCGCGGUAAUACGGAGGGUGCAAGCGUUAAUCGGAAUAACUGGGCGUAAAGCGCACGCAGGCGGUUUAUCAAGCUAGAUGUGAAAGCCCCGGGCUCAACCUGGGAACCGCAUUUAGAACUGUUGAACUAGAGUCUUGUAGAGGGGGGUAGAAUUCCAGGUGUAGCGGUGAUAUGCGUAGAGAUCUGGAGGAAUACCGGUGGCGAAGGCGGCCUCCUGGACAGAGACUGACGCUCAGGUGCGAAAGCGUGGGGAGCAAACAGGAUUAGAUACCCUAGUAGUC
RNAcentral lists this ribosomal RNA (464 nucleotides) under uncultured bacterium. RNAcentral describes it as "partial 16S ribosomal RNA". It matches the Rfam family "Bacterial small subunit ribosomal RNA", at positions 339 to 795 of the family's 1533-position model. The record is from RNAcentral.